GAAAUAGCAAAGUUAAAAUCAACAGAUCAGCGGGCCUGAGAGACAGAUUUUAUGUCAGGGCAAGGAAGACAGAGCUGGUAAUAUUGUGAAGGCAAUUAUAGAUGCAAGAUGAGAUUUUUGGAUAAAUAGUCAAGGCUGGAAACAGAUUUAGGCAUCAUUCCCACAGAGGUGAUAAUUGGACAGUGGGAGGUGAUGAGAACACCAAGGAAAAGAAUGUAUAAAAAGAAAAGAAAGGACAAGAGAAAGGUUGGAGACAAAACUCUAGAGAAUGCCUUCACUCAGGAGGCAGACAAGGCAGAGGAGCCCGCAAGGGGCAGAGGCCAGGCAGCCAGGGCCGGGGGAGGCAGGAAGGUCAAAAUCUGGAGGUCCAGGAAGGCGGAUUUCACAGAGAGGAGCAGCUGAUGGCUGGGAGCAAGUGCUGCAGAAACAAGUCCUGUCCUGUGCCCACUCCUCCUGAGGAAGACAGUCUACUUGACAUUACUGCUUGGAUCAGCUAUCAUUGGAUUUAAAGCUCCAGAAUCUGCCUCCUCAAUUCUGGCUGACAGAUAGAAACCAGCUCUCCACUGAGCCAGGAUGUAUUUGGCUGGCUCCAAACCCAAAGCCCUUCUAGUUUCCCUGUGAUCAUCAGGGGCCUUGAAUUGCCUCCCCUCUUUUCCAGUGUAGACCUCUUCAUGAAUCCUACCCUACAUAUGGCCCCACAUUACCUGAGGAUAUAGAAUAAAUAAAUAAAAUCCUUUUUGAUUUGUUUGUA
Non-coding RNA from Macaca mulatta (Rhesus monkey), 751 nucleotides. Lineage: Eukaryota; Metazoa; Chordata; Mammalia; Primates; Cercopithecidae. The record is from RefSeq and is a predicted model, not a curated record.